AUUGUCCUACGGGGCGCAGCAGUGGGGAAUAUUGCACAAUGGGGGGAACCCUGAUGCAGCGACGCCGCGUGGGUGAAGGAGUAUUUCGGUAUGUAAAGCUCUAUCAGCAGGGAAGAAGAAAUGACGGUACCUGAGUAAGAAGCACCGGCUAAAUACGUGCCAGCAGCCGCGGUAAUACGUAUGGUGCAAGCGUUAUCCGGAUUUACUGGGUGUAAAGGGAGCGCAGGCGGCACGGCAAGCCUGAUGUGAAAGCCCGCGGCCCAACCGCGGGACUGCAUUGGGAACUACCGGGCUGGAGUGCCGGG
This 305-nucleotide ribosomal RNA is filed under the name uncultured bacterium. RNAcentral describes it as "bacterial SSU rRNA". It matches the Rfam family "Bacterial small subunit ribosomal RNA", at positions 333 to 653 of the family's 1533-position model. The record is from RNAcentral.